This 301-nucleotide ribosomal RNA is filed under the name uncultured bacterium. RNAcentral's name for it is "partial 16S ribosomal RNA". It matches the Rfam family "Bacterial small subunit ribosomal RNA", at positions 509 to 809 of the family's 1533-position model. The record is from RNAcentral.
CAGUCGCCGCGGUAAUACGGAGGGUGCAAGCGUUAUCCGGAUUUAUUGGGUUUAAAGGGUCCGUAGGCGGACUUAUAAGUCAGUGGUGAAAGCCUGUCGCUUAACGAUAGAACUGCCAUUGAUACUGUAAGUCUUGAGUAUAUUUGAGGUAGCUGGAAUAAGUAGUGUAGCGGUGAAAUGCAUAGAUAUUACUUAGAACACCAAUUGCGAAGGCAGGUUACCAAGAUAUAACUGACGCUGAGGGACGAAAGCGUGGGUAGCGAACAGGAUUAGAUACCCGUGUAGUCCCUGUCUCUUAUAA